UCCUGCCAGAGGUUACUGCUAUCGAGGUUCGACUAAGCCAUGCGAGUCGAAUGUAGCAAUACAUGGCGUACUGCUCAGUAACACGUGGACAACCUACCCUCCGGACGGGUAUAAACCCGGGAAACUGGGUAUAAUCCCCGAUAGAUCUCGGUCGCUGGAAAGCUCCGAGAUCGAAAGCUCCGGCGCCAGAGGAUGGGUCUGCGGCCUAUCAGGUAGUAGUGGGUGUAGCGUACCUACUAGCCUACGACGGGUACGGGUUGUGAGAGCAAGAGCCCGGAGAUGGAUUCUGAGACACGAAUCCAGGCCCUACGGGGUGCAGCAGGCGCGAAAACUUUACAAUGCCGGCAACGGCGAUAAGGGGACCUCGAGUGCCAGGUUACAAAUCUGGCUGUCGUGAUGCCUAAAAAGCAUUGCAUAGCAAGGGCCGGGCAAGACCGGUGCCAGCCGCCGCGGUAACACCGGCGGCUCGAGUGGUAACCGUUAUUAUUGGGUCUAAAGGGUCUGUAGCCGGCCGGAUAAGUCUCUUGAGAAA
RNAcentral lists this ribosomal RNA (532 nucleotides) under uncultured archaeon. RNAcentral describes it as "bacterial SSU rRNA". It matches the Rfam family "Archaeal small subunit ribosomal RNA", at positions 12 to 549 of the family's 1478-position model. The record is from RNAcentral.